AUCCCUCUCUUUCUCAAUUUCUAUCCUACUCUUCUCAAUCUUCAUCUCACGCCUUCGAUCCCUAACACUACUUUGAACAACAGCCGCAAGAAAUCCAUCAAGCCAACCCGUGCUCAGUCGUCGUUGAACCCAACACUGUGAUCCCUCGUGCCCAGCGUUGUUGUCGUCGAACCACCACGUGCCCAACCUUGUCGUCGUUGAACCACCACUAGAAGAAAUCCAUCGUCGUUGUGCUUGCCACCACCGUAAACCCACCCAUGCUCAGUAGUCAUCGAACCCACCACUGCUUUUGUGCUUGCCACUAGAAGGUCCGUCCCAACCAUCGCCAUCACCGUGCUCAGCCGUGUCUAUCUCGUAAUCUUGGAUCUGUUUAAAGCUCGUUGCCAGAUCUGCAUUCAAAGCGCCGCUCAUUGAACACCUUGAACGAUUCUGAAGUUGCCCAUUGAAUUCAAUGUUGGCAGUUUGUCCAUUGAAUACCUUGAACGAUUUCCAGCUGAAGAUAUUCUCAUUAGAGAUGGUAUUUCUUCCAAAGACUUUGUAAUUGAACUAUUUUCGCUCACAUUUGUUCGAUUUAACAGUAGUGAAGUAUGUCGAUCUCAAUGUUGGCAGCAUCCUAAUGUUAUUCCGAUGUGAAGAAGAAAGUGAAUGAUGCAGAUAGAAGUUAAAGCACCUUGAAGAAAUGACUCCUCUAGCAUACUACAACGUGGAAGACAAAGACAUAUAUCAAUUAUUACAAAUAUCAAACUUAAGUUAUAAAAGGUUAGAGCACCUUCAAGAUAUUUUAAUCUUUUGGAUGCGAUGAAGCUUUACAACUAAUAGUCACUGAGUUUAUCUCCACUUUUGAAGGACAUACUUUGCUGGUAGUCUACUAUAUGGGAACGGAACUGUGGUGGUGAACAUGGAAAGGGGCUGGUGGGAUCUUAUAUUCCACAAGAUUAGAGUAGUUUUUGGCUUUGGAAUAUGAUUAGGAAAUAUAGACCACUCACUUCAAAGUUUAAAGAACCCAUUUGAAAUCAAGCUCCAAAUUUCGUACAAGUGAUAGUACCUGAGAUCUCAACAAGAGGUAAUUAGUUGGGCUUAAUUUUAAUGAAAUUCUACCAUUUAUAUAAAAUGUAUUUUUUUUUAAU
Cucumis melo (muskmelon) is the source of this 1127-nucleotide long non-coding RNA. RefSeq lists it as uncharacterized. Lineage: Eukaryota; Viridiplantae; Streptophyta; Magnoliopsida; Cucurbitales; Cucurbitaceae. The record is from RefSeq and is a predicted model, not a curated record. The transcript has 4 exons.